GAGGUUGUAGCCCAGUGGUAGGGCACUUGCUUAGCACGCAUGAAGCCCUGAUUGGGUUCCAUCCCCAACACUGUAA
Molecule: transfer RNA, 76 nt
Filed under: Marmota monax (woodchuck)
Lineage: Eukaryota; Metazoa; Chordata; Mammalia; Rodentia; Sciuridae
Description: tRNA.Ala
Rfam family: tRNA (bases 6-70)
About the family: Transfer RNA (tRNA) molecules are approximately 80 nucleotides in length. Their secondary structure includes four short double-helical elements and three loops (D, anti-codon, and T loops).
Source: RNAcentral